Molecule: ribosomal RNA, 1765 nt
Filed under: Escherichia coli
Lineage: Bacteria; Pseudomonadati; Pseudomonadota; Gammaproteobacteria; Enterobacterales; Enterobacteriaceae
Description: partial 23S ribosomal RNA
Rfam family: Bacterial large subunit ribosomal RNA
Source: RNAcentral
CGGGACACGUGGUAUCCUGUCUGAAUAUGGGGGGACCAUCCUCCAAGGCUAAAUACUCCUGACUGACCGAUAGUGAACCAGUACCGUGAGGGAAAGGCGAAAAGAACCCCGGCGAGGGGAGUGAAAAAGAACCUGAAACCGUGUACGUACAAGCAGUGGGAGCACAGAGCAAUCUGUGUGACUGCGUACCUUUUGUAUAAUGGGUCAGCGACUUAUAUUCUGUAGCAAGGUUAACCGAAUAGGGGAGCCGAAGGGAAACCGAGUCUUAACUGGGCGUUAAGUUGCAGGGUAUAGACCCGAAACCCGGUGAUCUAGCCAUGGGCAGGUUGAAGGUUGGGUAACACUAACUGGAGGACCGAACCGACUAAUGUUGAAAAAUUAGCGGAUGACUUGUGGCUGGGGGUGAAAGGCCAAUCAAACCGGGAGAUAGCUGGUUCUCCCCGAAAGCUAUUUAGGUAGCGCCUCGUGAAUUCAUCUCCGGGGGUAGAGCACUGUUUCGGCAAGGGGGUCAUCCCGACUUACCAACCCGAUGCAAACUGCGAAUACCGGAGAAUGUUAUCACGGGAGACACACGGCGGGUGCUAACGUCCGUCGUGAAGAGGGAAACAACCCAGACCGCCAGCUAAGGUCCCAAAGUCAUGGUUAAGUGGGAAACGAUGUGGGAAGGCCCAGACAGCCAGGAUGUUGGCUUAGAAGCAGCCAUCAUUUAAAGAAAGCGUAAUAGCUCACUGGUCGAGUCGGCCUGCGCGGAAGAUGUAACGGGGCUAAACCAUGCACCGAAGCUGCGGCAGCGACGCUGAUGCGUUGUUGGGUAGGGGAGCGUUCUGUAAGCCUGUGAAGGUGUGCUGUGAGGCAUGCUGGAGGUAUCAGAAGUGCGAAUGCUGACAUAAGUAACGAUAAAGCGGGUGAAAAGCCCGCUCGCCGGAAGACCAAGGGUUCCUGUCCAACGUUAAUCGGGGCAGGGUGAGUCGACCCCUAAGGCGAGGCCGAAAGGCGUAGUCGAUGGGAAACAGGUUAAUAUUCCUGUACUUGGUGUUACUGCGAAGGGGGGACGGAGAAGGCUAUGUUGGCCGGGCGACGGUUGUCCCGGUUUAAGCGUGUAGGCUGGUUUUCCAGGCAAAUCCGGAAAAUCAAGGCUGAGGCGUGAUGACGAGGCACUACGGUGCUGAAGCAACAAAUGCCCUGCUUCCAGGAAAAGCCUCUAAGCAUCAGGUAACAUCAAAUCGUACCCCAAACCGACACAGGUGGUCAGGUAGAGAAUACCAAGGCGCUUGAGAGAACUCGGGUGAAGGAACUAGGCAAAAUGGUGCCGUAACUUCGGGAGAAGGCACGCUGAUAUGUAGGUGAAGUCCCUCGCGGAUGGAGCUGAAAUCAGUCGAAGAUACCAGCUGGCUGCAACUGUUUAUUAAAAACACAGCACUGUGCAAACACGAAAGUGGACGUAUACGGUGUGACGCCUGCCCGGUGCCGGAAGGUUAAUUGAUGGGGUCAGCGCAAGCGAAGCUCUUGAUCGAAGCCCCGGUAAACGGCGGCCGUAACUAUAACGGUCCUAAGGUAGCGAAAUUCCUUGUCGGGUAAGUUCCGACCUGCACGAAUGGCGUAAUGAUGGCCAGGCUGUCUCCACCCGAGACUCAGUGAAAUUGAACUCGCUGUGAAGAUGCAGUGUACCCGCGGCAAGACGGAAAGACCCCGUGAACCUUUACUAUAGCUUGACACUGAACAUUGAGCCUUGAUGUGUAGGAUAGGUGGGAGGCUUUGAAGUGUG